AUGCCUCAGGUGGCUCCUGGGCGAGAGGGCUCUCUGAAGUCCGUGCCGGCAUGCAGUUUGGUUGACCGUGGAUUGCAUUUCCCUUUGACGACUAGGAGGGUCACCUCUCGCCAUAGUGCAGCUCGGCUGGCUCUCUGUUGCAGCUCCUUCGGCUGGGUGUUCGCGGUUCUGUUUGAAAGUGUUUUGCAUAGUUUUCGGUUCAGGGCUUCUUUUGUGCAGUUCAUUGCUUUUUCUUUGAAAAUUUUGUGUAUGAUCCAGGACUCCACCUCCGCUUUCAGUCCAGAAUUGCCGCGCAGUGUAUUUGACAAAGGAGUUCACUUUGCAGAAAAAAUUGUACAUGGGAGUUCACUUCUUUGUUAUUUUGGGGGGAAUUGUUUUUUGCAAAAUUGUAAGGACAAUGGUGUAUAA
RNAcentral lists this ribosomal RNA (408 nucleotides) under Triticum aestivum (bread wheat). RNAcentral's name for it is "partial small subunit ribosomal RNA". Lineage: Eukaryota; Viridiplantae; Streptophyta; Magnoliopsida; Poales; Poaceae. The record is from RNAcentral.